Non-coding RNA from Phrynosoma platyrhinos (Desert horned lizard), 72 nucleotides. NCBI's taxonomy places the organism in Eukaryota, Metazoa, Chordata, Lepidosauria, Squamata, Phrynosomatidae. The record is from the annotation of a GenBank genome assembly.
GCCAGGGUGGCGUAAUGGUUCCAGUGUUGGACUACCACUCUGGAGACCAAGGUUCAAAUCUCUGCUCAGCCA